GGCCGGUUAGCUCAGUCGGGAGAGCUUCGCCCUGUAAGCGAGGUGCCCGGGUUUGAGUCCCGAACUGGCUG
RNAcentral lists this transfer RNA (71 nucleotides) under Dreissena polymorpha. It matches the Rfam family "tRNA". From Rfam's summary of the family: Transfer RNA (tRNA) molecules are approximately 80 nucleotides in length. Their secondary structure includes four short double-helical elements and three loops (D, anti-codon, and T loops). The record is from Rfam by way of RNAcentral. Lineage: Eukaryota; Metazoa; Mollusca; Bivalvia; Myida; Dreissenidae.